Apus apus (common swift) is the source of this 1522-nucleotide long non-coding RNA. RefSeq lists it as uncharacterized. NCBI's taxonomy places the organism in Eukaryota, Metazoa, Chordata, Aves, Apodiformes, Apodidae. The record is from RefSeq and is a predicted model, not a curated record. The transcript has 3 exons.
UUUGAUUUAAACUGCCUUUUACUACAAGUACAUCAUGUCUGAUGCACUGGUGGUGUUCUGAUAUUAGACUUGUCAUGUUUUAUCAUAUCUUUGCCUAUUGGAGUACUUAAUGAUAUGCCUAUCUGCUCUCAAAAUCACUGCUUGUUUGGAUAAAAACGAGUAGCAUAAAUUGAAAAAUUAAGAUAAUUUAUUAAUUAUGCAUAAGAUUCCUAAAAUGCUAAUAACCUGGGGGAGGGGAAAAGAGUGGACUAGAGUUAGCCUUUUAAAAUCCAAAGUCUCCUAACAAGUUGUAAGUAUUGUGGAAGUCCUAUCAUUUAAGAAUGCUUUUUUUUGUGGCUAUAGACUGUGUGGCCUUUGCCUUCUCUGGCACAGGCAGUAUCUUCCAUUCCUCUUCUAUUCACCAAAAUGUUUCUGGUGUUUCAUAUUCACUUUCAGUGUUGCACCAUGUCCUGGUUUCAUUGGGAUAGAAUCAUAAACUCAUUUUUCUAUUCAGGGAGGAAGCUACAUUUUGGAGAAGACCACAGCAGCACCCGGUUCAGUGGGAAUUAUUUUGAUAAGAUGCUUUGUUUUAGUUUGUGGCCAGCCAUGGUAUGCAGGUUUCCAUAGUGAUCAAGGUCUUUAGCAGUUCUGAGCCAUUCAGAUGCUCAAGUGAGGAGGAGCAAAAGCCAGGGCAGCUCACCCACACUGGCCACCAGAAUUCUUUCAUACCGUCAACAUCAGUCCCUAUAAACUGCAAAGUUUGCUGAGGACUGGGCUCUUCCUCAAUGUCUGCUAUCCCUGGAGGGUCUCACCUGUCCUUCAUCUCCUGAGGCCUGCUCUUCCUCUGCUCUUCGGUUGGUUUUGGCCAUCAUGCUUUUGCUGGAGCUGUGGUGAUUGCAGUGUUUGAUGAGUAUAACUGUGUGUAAUUUAUAUUAGUGUUGGUAUUAGCAUUUUAAUUAUUUUAUGAAACCUGUUUCCAUUUCAACCUGAUGGGUCUCCUUUGCUUUUCUUGACUGCCAUUCUCAGGUGGGGAGGGGUCACUGGGUGAUAGAAUAACUGACUAACCGAAGACACCCCAUCAUCCCCAGAUGAUAAUGCUGAAUCAAAUUGACUCCAUCCUGCCUUACAACUGCAGCAGUUUCCACCCAGAGGGAGGGAAGGAUUUUACAAUGCAGAUGUCCACACACUCCUUGACUGUACUGCCUGAGUGCUACGGGAAACAGAGCUGCUUCAGUGAUGUCAGGAAGAUGGACAACAGCUGCUCUGGCCAACACAACUCCAUCCAGCAAAUCAGGUCACUGAGACUUCUGUGUCAGAAACUGGUGGAGGAGCUGAUCCCAUUUCUGGUGUUGGGUACCAUGGGCUCAGAUGAGGUGCUGGAGUAAGGGGAUCAGAAUCUGAAGCAGUAAGUUAUCCAUCAGAAAUUCCUUGUGUCCCUCGUAUUCCUGGAGCUCUCAGGCCUGGUUCUGGCUUUAUUACUCUAAGUCUCUCAUUUAGGCUUUGGGCAUUGGAUUCUUCAUCUGUUGCUUCAAGGUAUAUAACA